GGGUGAGGAGAGUAUCCUAAGGCCAGCGAGAGAACUGUUGUUAAGGAACUCGGCAAAAUGACCCCGUAACUUAGGGAUAAGGGGUGCCACCAUCAGGUGGCCGCAGAGAAUAGGCCCAAGCGACUGUUUACCAAAAACAUAGGUUUCUGCUAAGUCGCAAGACGAUGUAUAGGAGCUGACGCCUGCCCGGUGCUGGAAGGUUAAGGGGAUCUGUUAGAGCAAUCGAAGCAGUGAACUUAAGCCCCAGUAAACGGCGGCCGUAACUAUAACGGUCCUAAGGUAGCGAAAUUCCUUGUCGGGUAAGUUCCGACCCGCACGAAAGGCGUAACGAUUUGGGCACUGUCUCAACAACAGACUCGGUGAAAUUGUAAUUCCGGUGAAGAUGCCGGAUACCUGCGACAGGACGGAAAGACCCCAUGGAGCUUUACUGUAGCUUGACAUUGGGUCUUGGUACUACAUGUACAGGAUAGGUGGGAGGCUUUGAAACCAGGACGCCAGUUUUGGCGGAGCCAUCCUUGGGAUACCACCCUUGUAGUACUGGGACUCUAACCAUAGGCCAUGAAUCUGGUCUUGGGACACUGUCAGGUGGGCAGUUUGACUGGGGCGGUCGCCUCCCAAAAGGUAACGGAGGCGCUCAAAGGUUCUCUCAGUACGGUCGGAAAUCGUACGUAGAGUGUAAAGGCAAAAGAGAGCUUGAUUGCAAGACAUACAGGUCGAGCAAGGAUGAAAAUCGGACUUAGUGAUCCGGUGGUUCUGCGUGGAAGGGCCAUCGCUCAACGGAUAAAAGCUACCCUGGGGAUAACAGGCUUAUCUCCCCCAAGAGUCCACAUCGACGGGGAGGUUUGGCACCUCGAUGUCGGCUCAUCACAUCCUGGGGCUGUAGUAGGUCCCAAGGGUUGGGCUGUUCGCCCAUUAAAGUGGUACGCGAGCUGGGUUCAGAACGUCGUGAGACAGUUCGGUCCCUAUCCGUCGCAGGCGUAGGAAAUUUGAGAAGACCUGUCCUUAGUACGAGAGGACCGGGAUGGACGUACCUCUGGUGUACCAGUUGUCCUGCCAAGGGCAUGGCUGGG
Molecule: ribosomal RNA, 1070 nt
Filed under: Clostridium sp. HMSC19C11
Lineage: Bacteria; Bacillati; Bacillota; Clostridia; Eubacteriales; Clostridiaceae
Description: bacterial LSU rRNA
Rfam family: Bacterial large subunit ribosomal RNA
Source: RNAcentral